GCUGGACAAGAUGUUUUCAUGUAGGGCUUGUCAGUCGAUUCUUGUGGUGUUCUCGAUGUUUUCUUUUACUUUUUUUUUACUUUUCUUUUUUUUACCUGUUGGGGUUUGGGUUUUUUCACGUGGUUUUUAAUUGUUUUGCAUAGUUUUGCAUGUUUUUGACGUCGUUUUCUUGGGGUUAGCUUGGUAGCUUAUGUGGCCCUCAAGGUGGUUUCAUUAAGUUUAUUUAAUUUUCUCCUUUUCGUACACCUCUCUAACGCUGUUUUGCUUGCUUUUAG
RNAcentral lists this long non-coding RNA (275 nucleotides) under Gossypium barbadense (sea-island cotton). RNAcentral describes it as "long non-coding RNA (GBAR_LNC014250)". The record is from RNAcentral. Lineage: Eukaryota; Viridiplantae; Streptophyta; Magnoliopsida; Malvales; Malvaceae.